AGCAAUCAGCGAGAUUCCGUGGGCGUAGGACCCUCCGAGCCAGUUCCCGAGAGAUCCCAUGAUCCAGAGACAAAGGUGGCAGCUUUGGAGCAAGUGGAGAGCCAGAAAAGGAUCCAGAACUGGAGUGGAAGCUGAAGCUAUGCCAUCUUUUAUGUCUGAUGAGGCAGUUUCAUCUGAUUUGAAGAUGAUGAAGAAAAGUUCUUUGCAAGGUUGCUUAUUGAAUAUUACUGGGAAAACAGGAAAAUUAGGAGGAAUGUUCUGGAGUGAUUUAUCUUUUUCAUCAGGGGCCCGCGUUCAGUCCAGCCACCAGAUCAACACAUUCUCCAAACUCAUUAACUUUGGAGAGGCUACCCAGAGUUCCUGAAGAGUUCAUCUGAAAGUCACACAGCAAGAACACAGCAGAACAAAGAUUAGAUCCCAGCUUGGUCUUCUUCAAUGGUCAUGCUUUUCCAGAUACCUUAAAGAAAACCAAAUGGACAGUGAUUCUACACUGACAGAUAAGCAUGCUUAUAAUUGCUUGUUUGAUAUCUGUUUUUUCCCUGGUAGUUUGUAAGAUGUGAAAGAAAAAAUAUGUGUUGCCUUUUCUGACAGCCACUCCCCCAACCCCAGCACCUAGUAUAUAUUAUUUUCUAUUAGCUGUUAAAUAAAUACUUACCAUAUGAACAAGUGAACCUGAAUAAAGCAGUACUCAUUGGUCCUGGAGUGGAUGAAAUAGACUAGGGACUGGCCAGCUAGAAGGAUCAGGGACUCCCAAAUAUGUAGCAUUUUUAGUUGGUACUGAAUGUGUGAAUGAGAUGGGUAGCUAUGGCAUCCAGGCUAGGUGAAGUCAGUUAUAGGCAUGGAUGUGGAGGACUCUGUGGGAGGGAAAGAGUGAGUGGUUCAGGGCACUGGAGGUCAUGCAGAGAUUUGAUGCUAUGAAAAGCAAGUUGCACCUGUGAGAGUGUCAUUAGGUUAAUAACACCCUCCUCUUCUGUCUGCCUCCCUCACAAUCAUGAGGCUUGGAAAAGUGAGGGAUGGAAGUUAUUAUCUAGGAGCUUGUUCACUGCUGCCAAAAAUAGUUAGCUUUAUUAUGAGCUCUUGUACUGGCUUCAGACAGAGCCUUUGGGCAUCAUGGGAGUUACUGCUGCUUCCCUUGGGAACUACUGUCACUGCCAUGGGCAUCUGCAUCUGAGAAGCAUUCCUUCUCUGUGACAAUUAUCAUAGUAACUUUUGCCCAGCAAGUUGGCUUUUCUGGAUGUGUUAAUGAUGGUAAUAAUGAUAAUUGCUAAGAUUAUGAAUGUCUUGCAUGAAUUAUUUCAUUUAAUCCUCACAAUAACCGAAUGAGGCAGAAACAAUUUUGUGUCUUUUUUACAAAUGGGGAACUGAGAUUUGGGGAAGUUAAAUCAUUUGCCAAAGUCAUUUGUUCAAUGAUGAGUAGUCUCAAAAUUUUAACCCAAAUCUAAUCAACAUAUUGUAAGAUUGUUACAGUAAGAAUGUUAUUAGAACAUCCUGAGAAAGAGCUGAUAUACAUAUUAAAGAGUCCUUCAUUUUCGUGAUGCCUACUCCUUGCUUGGGUGCAAGGUUAUUUCUGCUUGUUGAUUCUGUCCCUUUGAAAAUCAGAUUUUAACCUCUAGCCUGCUAGUUCCUUUGUGGGGAAAAAUGAUUAUUGCUGUUUUCCAAAAUACCAAAAAAUGUCAGCCCAACCGCCUGAGUUUAAUCAGAUGUUUAAUCUGAUAUAGCAUCUGCAUAAUGACACCACAAAGAAUAAACAAGAAGAUCGGGACUGUGUCAUAAAUAUUGAUUCUUCUAUAGUCAGGGCCUGCUGACUUUCAUAUAAAACUUUUUAUUUAAUUAAAUCUAUUGCAAACAAUGCAGCAAAACCUUAUUCUAGUUUUAUCUUUCAGAAUGUUGAAAUAGUCACAGCCCAUGGAAUCAAUGUUUUGGGUAAGAUUUUUUUUAAUGGAAUUCUGUCUCUAUUGCUUUAAUUUCUUUAAUCUUUCACUGCAUGAAAAAUACUCUAAUAUCUUAAAAUUUCAUGUAUUUCCAGCCUAAAAAUAACAUCUAUUAUAGAUUUUCCUCAUUUUAUUGUGUAAAUGUAGAUAAGCAUAAAGAAGAAAAUAAAAAUUGUCCAGAAAGAACCACAAUU
This is a long non-coding RNA of Homo sapiens (human), 2125 nucleotides long. Ensembl annotates it as MIR2052 host gene. Lineage: Eukaryota; Metazoa; Chordata; Mammalia; Primates; Hominidae. The record is from Ensembl.